GUUUUCUCUUCCCCUUUUGCAAAUACAUACCUAACUAGCAAAAUACUCAUGUUAUUAUAAUAAAAUCAAAGUCAAAUCUAGACAUACAUAUACGAUUUUGCAUCUCCAAUAUGAGCUAUUCUGACUUUUUUUAAAACAAAAACCUAAUUCAAUAUCCAUCUUGGUCAAACAAAAAAAAAAAAAAUUUGAUAGUCAUUAGUUGCACGAGAACCAGCUCGAAUCAAAAGAACUUCCUUUCACUUGAUUUUCCUUUGUCCAACAUAGCUGAAACAGAAAACCCACUUGAAUAUCCUAUUCCUCACAAAACCCAAACAAAAACUCACUCAAUUUUCUAUUUUUGUUGCUCCUCUAGAACUUUCUCGAUUCCAUUUCAAUAAAAAUUUAUUUAAAUUCACUUGUAGUGUGUACUCGAAUUGUCAACUAUGUAAUCCAUUAAUAAAAAAAGAUUAUAUUGGGGAAGGAGGAAUGAGGAGUAGUGGUAAAUUAGGCCUCGUUUGGUAUGGUGAAACUAUUUGGGUAAGGUAUAUGAUAUCACCUAUCAGACGCAAUAUUGUGGG
This 557-nucleotide unclassified non-coding RNA is filed under the name Hevea brasiliensis (rubber tree). The record is from RNAcentral. Lineage: Eukaryota; Viridiplantae; Streptophyta; Magnoliopsida; Malpighiales; Euphorbiaceae.